ACAUUCUUAUAUUAUGAGACGGAG
Molecule: microRNA, 24 nt
Filed under: Triticum aestivum (bread wheat)
Lineage: Eukaryota; Viridiplantae; Streptophyta; Magnoliopsida; Poales; Poaceae
Description: tae-miR1120a
Source: miRBase by way of RNAcentral